RNAcentral lists this ribosomal RNA (460 nucleotides) under uncultured bacterium. Its description in RNAcentral is "partial 16S ribosomal RNA". It matches the Rfam family "Bacterial small subunit ribosomal RNA", at positions 338 to 795 of the family's 1533-position model. The record is from RNAcentral.
CCUACGGGGGGCAGCAGUGAGGAAUAUUGGUCAAUGGACGAGAGUCUGAACCAGCCAAGUAGCGUGAAGGAUGACUGCCCUAUGGGUUGUAAACUUCUUUUAUAUGGGAAUAAAAUGUUCCACGUGUGGGAUUUUGUAUGUACCAUAUGAAUAAGGAUCGGCUAACUCCGUGCCAGCAGCCGCGGUAAUACGGAGGAUCCGAGCGUUAUCCGGAUUUAUUGGGGUUAAAGGGAGCGUAGGUGGAUUGUUAAGUCAGUUGUGAAAGUUUGCGGCUCAACCGUAAAAUUGCAGUUGAAACUGGCAGUCUGGAGUACAGUAGAGGUGGGCGGAAUUCGUGGUGUAGCGGUGAAAUGCUUAGAUAUCACGAAGAACUCCGAUUGCGAAGGCAGCUCACUGGACUGCAACUGACACUGAGGCUCGAAAGUGUGGGUAUCAAACAGGAUUAGAUACCCCAGUAGUC